ACGGAGGGUGCAAACGUUAAUCGGAAUUACUGGGCGUAAAGCGCACGUAGGCGGAUAGUCAAGUGGGACGUGAAAGCCCUCGGCUCAACCGGGGAAUUGCGUUUCAAACUGGCUGUCUAGAGUGUAGUAGAGGAAAGUGGAAUUUGCUGUGUAGCGGUGAAAUGCGUAGAUAUGGCAAGGAACAUCAGUGGCGAAGGCGGCUUUCUGGACUAACACUGACGCUGAGGUGCGAAAGCGUGGGUAGCGAACAGG
RNAcentral lists this ribosomal RNA (252 nucleotides) under uncultured bacterium. Its description in RNAcentral is "partial 16S ribosomal RNA". It matches the Rfam family "Bacterial small subunit ribosomal RNA", at positions 525 to 776 of the family's 1533-position model. The record is from RNAcentral.